AGUGAACGCUGGCGGUAGGCCUAACACAUGCAAGUCGAACGGCAGCACAGUAAGAGCUUGCUCUUACGGGUGGCGAGUGGCGGACGGGUGAGGAAUACAUCGGAAUCUACUUUUUCGUGGGGGAUAACGUAGGGAAACUUACGCUAAUACCUCAUACGACCUACGGGUGAAAGCAGGGGAUCUUCGUACCUUGCGCGAUUGAAUGAGCCGAUGUCGGAUUAGCUAGUUGGCGGGGUAAAGGCCCACCAAGGAGACGAUCCGUAGCUGGUCUGAGAGGAUGAUCAGCCACACUGGAACUGAGACACGGUCCAGACUCCUACGGGAGGCAGCAGUGGGGAAUAUUGGACAAUGGGCGCAAGCCUGAUCCAGCCAUACCGCGUGGGUGAGGAAGGCCUUCGGGUUGUAAAGCCCUUUUGUUGGGAAAGAAAAGCAGCAGGUUAAUACCCCGCUGUUCUGACGGUACCCAAAGAAUAAGCACCGGCUAACUUCGUG
RNAcentral lists this ribosomal RNA (492 nucleotides) under uncultured bacterium. Its description in RNAcentral is "partial 16S ribosomal RNA". It matches the Rfam family "Bacterial small subunit ribosomal RNA", at positions 29 to 507 of the family's 1533-position model. The record is from RNAcentral.